Molecule: ribosomal RNA, 429 nt
Filed under: uncultured bacterium
Lineage: Bacteria
Description: bacterial SSU rRNA
Rfam family: Bacterial small subunit ribosomal RNA
Source: RNAcentral
UCGAGAAUAUUUAGCAAUGGACGAAAGUCUGACUAUGCGACGCCGCGUGAGGGAUGAAGGUCUUCGGAUUGUAAACCUCUGUCACCAGGGAGGAAUACCAAGGGUCUAAUAGGCCCGAGGGAUGACAGUACCUGGAGAGGAAGCCACGGCUAACUCCGUGCCAGCAGCCGCGGUAAUACGGAGGUGGCAAGCGUUGUUCGGAUUGACUGGGUGUAAAGGGUGUGUAGGUGUUCCGAUAAGUCAAGCGUGAAAUACUUUGGCUCAACCAAAGAAUUGCGCUUGAUACUGCCGGAAUUGAGUGAAGGAGAGGAGAAUGGAAUUCCCGGUGUAAGGGUGAAAUCUGUAGAGAUCGGGAAGAACACCAGUGGCGAAAGCGAUUCUCUGGCCUUUUACUGACACUGAAACACGAAAGCUAGGGGAGCAAACAGG